RNAcentral lists this ribosomal RNA (427 nucleotides) under uncultured bacterium. Its description in RNAcentral is "partial 16S ribosomal RNA". It matches the Rfam family "Bacterial small subunit ribosomal RNA", at positions 355 to 774 of the family's 1533-position model. The record is from RNAcentral.
UGGGGAAUAUUGCACAAUGGGCGCAAGCCUGAUGCAGCCAUGCCGCGUGUAUGAAGAAGGCCUUCGGGUUGUAAAGUACUUUCAGCGGGGAGGAAGGCGAUAAGGUUAAUAACCUUGUCGAUUGACGUUACCCGCAGAAGAAGCACCGGCUAACUCCGUGCCAGCAGCCGCGGUAAUACGGAGGGUGACAGCGUGAAUCGGAAUUACUGGGCGUAAAGCGCACGCAGGCGGUCUGUCAAGUCGGAUGUGAAAUCCCCGGGCUCAACCUGGGAACUGCAUUCGAAACUGGCAGGCUAGAGUCUUGUAGAGGGGGGUAGAAUUCCAGGUGUAGCGGUGAAAUGCGUAGAGAUCUGGAGGAAUACCGGUGGCGAAGGCGGCCCCCUGGACAAAGACUGACGCUCAGGUGCGAAAGCGUGGGGAGCAAACA